Molecule: microRNA precursor, 103 nt
Filed under: Marmota monax (woodchuck)
Lineage: Eukaryota; Metazoa; Chordata; Mammalia; Rodentia; Sciuridae
Source: RNAcentral
AGUGGGAUAGCUGGGUCAAUUGGUGGUCCCAUUCCAAGUUUUCUAAGGAAUCUCUGUAUUGCUUUCCAGAAUGUUUGUACCAAUUUGUAGUCUCACUAGCAAU